UAUAUUUGCCGAUUGAAAGAAAAUCUUUCAUUGUACAUAAAAAUCAUUUAAAUAAAUAUUGGAAUG
Molecule: non-coding RNA, 66 nt
Submitted as: unclassified sequences
Source: Rfam